ACUCAUAUCUUGCAGGGGAAGUACCAUGUUAUAAAAGUGGUUUUCUUGGGUGAGGCUCAUCCAUUGCACUUUGGGUGUGCUGAUCCCUAUGAUUUCCUCAAAUGUGGGGAACUCAGCUGCAUAAUUUGUGUUAAUGGGAGAUUGUGUUUGUAAUUUCCCU
This 160-nucleotide small nuclear RNA is filed under the name Pogona vitticeps (central bearded dragon). RNAcentral's name for it is "U1 spliceosomal RNA (ENSPVIG00000012571.1)". It matches the Rfam family "U1 spliceosomal RNA". From Rfam's summary of the family: U1 is a small nuclear RNA (snRNA) component of the spliceosome (involved in pre-mRNA splicing). Lineage: Eukaryota; Metazoa; Chordata; Lepidosauria; Squamata; Agamidae. The record is from Rfam by way of RNAcentral.